UUUACACCAUUUAGUGAAAUUUUACUGCAAAUAGAAAUGUUCGUACAAAAUUCGAGUCACAAAAACUUACAUGUGCAACAUACAGAUUUCUUACGGGGUCUGACUGGAUUUACGGAAACUUGGUGUUUUUGGCUUUCAGUCACAGUUUUAAAAUACAGACAAAUACAGAUUUUCUAAAAUCCUGAUACAGAUUUUUGGAAAAAUCAUCUGGCAUCCCUGUUUAUAACUUUUGGGUGGACUUCUGGGGAAAAUUCAGAUAGUUAGAUUCCAACGGAGUUGUAAAGCGUUUAGAUGAAAAUACUGAUGACAAACAUUGCGCUGGGAUUCUGGGGGAUCUUUGUAUGGUAUUACAGCGAGAACUAGGGUUACUAAUUAUUAAUUCUGCAAUAUUGGAGUUCGGACUACGGUGGGAGGAAUUUUGCUGGGACUCUUGAAGAAAUACUGAGACAAAGCUUCACAGGAAAUUUAAUGGAAAUUUAAUGAAGAUCCACGAAGGAUUUUUUUGUGAUGAAUCUUCUGGCAUUCCGUACGAAGGUUUUUCUUUGGGAUUACGCAGAAAAUCCUCUUGAAAUUCUUCUAUGUGUUCCACCGGAAAAUCCACCAGGAGUUUGCCGGGGAUUCUCAUAAAAUGUCUCCGAGAUUUUCAUUAGAAGUUCUACAAAAAAUCCCUCCAUGGGUUCCUUCUAAUGUUUUUUUUCAGGAUUUAAUAUCAUGGGAUCUUCUAGGAGUUCCUUCAAGGUUUUCUUCAAAGAUGUUUUCUAAGAUUCUACCUACAGAUUCUAGAUUUGGCUCAAAUUUUCCAAAUGGAGGAGAACGUGCCUUUGGAGCCGACCUACUGAAGAUUCUACCAGGAGUUUUUUCGAUCCAUCCUUCAAUAAUUACAACCGAGAUUUCUGUAGUAUUUUAUACCAGGGUUCACUCAGAUAUUUAUUCGGAGAUUCCCGCAGGAAUUCCUUCCGGUAUUAUUUCAAAAGUUCGGUCUAGGAUUUCUACAGGAAUGCAUUCUAAGAUUUCCCCGGGAGUUUUUUUUUUCCAAAAUACAACUAUUUGGGAUUCCUCCAGGUUUUCUCUGGACGUUUCUUAUGUGAAUCCUCAAGGAAUUCCUUUUGGGAUUUCUCCAGUUAUCGUUUAUUAGAUUUAUCUGGGAAAUCUUUCCUUCAGCAUCUUCUCCCGGGAUUCCUCCAGAAGCUCGUUCUAGGUCUCCUCUAGGAGUAACUUUAUGGGUUCCUCUCAUAGUUUCUUUUGGAAUUUUUCCAGGAGUUACUUUUAAGAUUACACCAGGAGUGGCAUCAGGGAGGUUUCUCCAAUAAUUCCUCCAAAGAUUCAUCUAGAAAUUCCUCCGGAGAUUCCUCCAGAAAUUCCUCCAGAAAUUCCUCCAGGAAUUUCUCCAUAGAAUCCAACUCCUCCGGAGAUUUCUUAAGAAAUUCGUAGAAAUUCCCUCCUCAAAUAACUUCUGUGAAUUCCUCUAUACUCCCUCAUAAGCUACUUGUAGAGAUUUCUCCAAGAAUUCCUUUAAAAGUAUUUUUAGCGAUUCCUACAAGAGCUAAGUAUGAAAUUCCUCGGAGAAAAUCUGUAUCAAUACAGGUUUUCUGUAUCGCUGCUUCACCCUCAAAAGCAAACAACAACGGGAGCCCUAGAUUUCGCUAGAAACUAAAAAAAAUGUACUACUUUUUGAAGGUUUUUAAUUUUGUCUGUUUUUUUUCUAAACAUGUGUCAAAAUGUACAAAUUUUCAUAAAUUCUUUAAAGUUUGAGCAGCAAUUAUUAAAGUUUUCGUUAGAUUUAUUUGAAUAAAACUUACAAUUUUAUCCGUAUUUUUCUUCCCUCUUUUUCUUGUCUGUAUGGAUGGCCGAAAAUCUGUAUGAUACAGAAAAAUCUGUAUAUCUGGCAUCUCUGGUCAGAGAAGCCCCAGAAUAAUUCCCUGAAAAACUACUGGUACGUUUCCAGAAAAUAGAAAAAAAUCUUAUAAGACUCCCACAAGGGAAUUCUGUCAGAUUCCCAGAAGGAACAUCUGUUGAAUUUUGAUCUCCUAAAGGAUCUCUAUGAAGAAUCCCAAAUCCUUGUAAGAUUUCUAGAAGGGAGCUCUAGAAAAUUCACACAAGAAAUUCUUGAAGAUUCCCUGAAGAAACUCCAGAAGGAUUGCCAGAUGGGGAUGAUAACAUAAGGCUGAAUUUCAAAAGGCUGAAUUCACAAAAAUCUGAAUUUGCGAAAAUGCAGGAUACUUCUUCUUCUUCUUCUUUUUUAUGGCGUAACGUCCCAUCUGAGACAAAGCCUGUUUCUCAGCUUCUAUACGCAUUUCUACAGUUAUUAAUUGAGAGCCUUCUCUGCCAAUGGCCACUUUGCAUUUGUAUAUCGUGUGACAGGCAAGAAGAUACUUUAUGCCCGUGGUAGUCAAGUAAUUUUCCUUCACAAAAAGUUCCUGGUCCGAGCGAGAAUCGAACCUGUUACUCUCCGCGUGACUACUUGUUCGCUAACCACAUUGGCUACAUAUGUGUCAUAGGUUGUGCUUAGUGAAGAGGCUAAUGAUGCAUACCAACGAACAUAAAAAAUGACUGAUGAUAUUUCAAUCGGAGAUUUUUCCUUCUUUGAACAUGAGCCAUUCUAUCAAGUUAUGCUGUUGAGAUUGGUUGCCAUUACAGCUGCUAACAAUGUGAUCAGAGAUUUUACCUUCUUUUAAACAUAUGCUAUUCUUUGGAGAAAUACUAUCAUAGUUAUGGAGGCGAUCAAUAAUGCAUAGCGCGGACAAACAGUUCUAACGCUUCCGGAUGUAAAAUAUAGUAACGGAAGCAUGUUCGCCUAAUAUCAAAAAAGGUUUAGUUUGGCCAACCAUUAACCAAUAAGUGGUAGUGUGCGUCAAAUGUCAAGCUCAAGCAAACCAAUACAAGUACCAAGGCUGGUUGGUCGGCCAACUAGCAAAUUUUCAAAAAGACUGUUAUAUCAGUGUACGAUAUGAAUAAUAAGAGCGUUAUGUCUGUUUGUCUGUGAUGUUAGUGUUGGGCUGGUCUUCAGCAUGACAGCUUAUGGG
This is a long non-coding RNA of Aedes albopictus (Asian tiger mosquito), 3023 nucleotides long. RefSeq lists it as uncharacterized. The record is from RefSeq and is a predicted model, not a curated record. The transcript is spliced from 2 exons. Lineage: Eukaryota; Metazoa; Arthropoda; Insecta; Diptera; Culicidae.